RNAcentral lists this ribosomal RNA (445 nucleotides) under uncultured bacterium. Its description in RNAcentral is "partial 16S ribosomal RNA". It matches the Rfam family "Bacterial small subunit ribosomal RNA", at positions 354 to 796 of the family's 1533-position model. The record is from RNAcentral.
GUGAGGAAUAUUGCGCAAUGGAGGCAACUCUGAUCCAGCCAUGCCGCGUGCAGGAAGACGGCCCUCUGGGUUGUAAACUGCUUUUAUCCGGGAAUAAACCUGCCUUCGUGAAGGUAGCUGAAUGUACCGGAAGAAUAAGGAUCGGCUAACUCCGUGCCAGCAGCCGCGGUAAUACGGAGGAUCCAAGCGUUAUCCGGAUUUAUUGGGUUUAAAGGGUGCGUAGGCGGCCUGUUAAGUCAGGGGUGAAAGACGGUGGCUCAACCAUCGCAGUGCCCUUGAUACUGAUGGGCUUGAAUGGACUAGAGGUAGGCGGAAUGUGACAAGUAGCGGUGAAAUGCAUAGAUAUGUCACAGAACACCGAUUGCGAAGGCAGCUUACUAUGGUCCUAUUGACGCUGAGGCACGAAAGCGUGGGGAUCGAACAGGAUUAGAAACCCUGGUAGUCC